RNAcentral lists this non-coding RNA (588 nucleotides) under Pan troglodytes (chimpanzee). RNAcentral also lists the same sequence under 1 other name. The record is from RNAcentral. Lineage: Eukaryota; Metazoa; Chordata; Mammalia; Primates; Hominidae.
GAUUUUGGUAUGCAUGUGUAGUUUUGAUAUUGAUUUGAUACUAAGUGAUACUGAUUAGAUUUCUUUUGUAUUUUCUUUUUAGGGUUUUGUUUCUAAGACUUUGGAUUCUGCUAGUGCACAGUUUGCUGCUUCUGCUUUGGUGACAUCAGAACAACUGAUGGGAUUCAAGAUGAAGGAUGAUGUGGUGCUUGGAAUCGGGGUGAAUGGCGUCCUUCCAGCCUCAGGAGUAUACAAGGGCUUACACCUCAGUAGUACUACACCAACAGCACUUGUACAUACAAGUCCAUCAACGGCAGGUUCAGCUUUGUUACAGCCUUCAAAUAUUACACAGACUUCAAGUUCCCACAGUGCACUGAGUCAUCAAGUAACUGCUGCCAAUUCUGCAACAACUCAGGUUCUGAUUGGGAACAACAUUCGAUUAACUGUACCUUCAUCAGUUGCCACUGUAAACUCUAUUGCCCCAAUAAAUGCACGACAUAUACCUAGGACUUUAAGUGCUGUUCCAUCAUCUGCCUUAAAGCUGGCCGCUGCAGCAAACUGUCAAGUUUCCAAGGUCCCAUCUUCAUCCUCUGUAGAUUCAGUUCCAAG